This 492-nucleotide ribosomal RNA is filed under the name uncultured bacterium. Its description in RNAcentral is "partial 16S ribosomal RNA". It matches the Rfam family "Bacterial small subunit ribosomal RNA", at positions 38 to 507 of the family's 1533-position model. The record is from RNAcentral.
AGGGAAAGAGGGGGGUAGGCCUAACACAUGCAGGUCGAACGGCAGCACAGUAAGAGCUUGCUCUUACGGGUGGCGAGUGGCGGACGGGUGAGGAAUACAUCGGAAUCUACUUUUUCGUGGGGGAUAACGUAGGGAAACUUACGCUAAUACCGCAUACGACCUACGGGUGAAAGCAGGGGAUCUUCGGACCUUGCGCGAUUGAAUGAGCCGAUGUCGGAUUAGCUAGUUGGCGGGGUAAAGGCCCACCAAGGCGACGAUCCGUAGCUGGUCUGAGAGGAUGAUCAGCCACACUGGAACUGAGACACGGUCCAGACUCCUACGGGAGGCAGCAGUGGGGAAUAUUGGACAAUGGGCGCAAGCCUGAUCCAGCCAUACCGCGUGGGUGAAGAAGGCCUUCGGGUUGUAAAGCCCUUUUGUUGGGAAAGAAAAGCAGCAGGUUAAUACCCCGCUGUUCUGACGGUACCCAAAGAAUAAGCACCGGCUAACUUCGUG